RNAcentral lists this ribosomal RNA (757 nucleotides) under uncultured organism. RNAcentral's name for it is "bacterial SSU rRNA". It matches the Rfam family "Bacterial small subunit ribosomal RNA", at positions 531 to 1290 of the family's 1533-position model. The record is from RNAcentral.
GGGGCAAGCGUUGUCCGGAAUUAUUGGGCGUAAAGGGCGCGCAGGCGGGAUGAUCAGUCUGAGGUGAAAUCUUUUGGCUUAACCGAAAGCUUGCCUUGGAUACUGUCAUUCUUGAGUUCGGAAGAGGGAAGUGGAAUUCCUGGUGUAGCGGUGAAAUGCGUAGAUAUCAGGAAGAACACCGGUGGCGAAGGCGGCUUCCUGGUCCGAUACUGACGCUGAGGCGCGAAAGCGUGGGGAGCGAACAGGAUUAGAUACCCUGGUAGUCCACGCUGUAAACGAUGGGUACUAGGUGUUGGUCCUUUUUAGGAUCAGCGCCGCAGCUAACGCAUUAAGUACCCCGCCUGGGGAAUACGACCGCAAGGUUGAAACUCAAAGGAAUUGACGGGGGCCCGCACAAGCGGUGGAGCAUGUGGUUUAAUUCGAUGCAACGCGAAGAACCUUACCUGGGCUUGAACCGUAGUCGAAAACCCCUGAAAAGGGGUCCUCCUUCGGGACGGCUAUAGAGGUGCUGCAUGGCUGUCGUCAGCUCGUGCCGUGAGGCGUUGGGUUAAGUCCCGCAACGAGCGCAACCCUUGCCCUUAGUUGCCAUCAGGUUAUGCUGGGAACUCUAAGGGGACUGCCCCGGAUAACGGGGAGGAAGGUGGGGAUGACGUCAAGUCCUCAUGGCCCUUACGUCCAGGGCUACACACGUGCUACGAUGGCCGGUACGAUGGGCGGCGAUACCGCAAGGUGGAGCAAAUCCUUAAAACCGGUCUCA